This 465-nucleotide ribosomal RNA is filed under the name uncultured bacterium. Its description in RNAcentral is "partial 16S ribosomal RNA". It matches the Rfam family "Bacterial small subunit ribosomal RNA", at positions 28 to 507 of the family's 1533-position model. The record is from RNAcentral.
GACGAACGCUGGCGGCGUGCUUAACACAUGCAAGUCGUACGGUAAGGCCCUUUCGGGGGUACACGAGUGGCGAACGGGUGAGUAACGCGUGAGUAACCUGCCCACAACUUUGGGAUAACGCUAGGAAACUGGUGCUAAUACUGGAUAUGUGCUCCUGCUGCAUGGGGGGGGUUGGAAAGCUCCGGCGGUUGUGGAUGGACUCGCGGCCUAUCAGCUUGUUGGUGGGGUAGUGGCCUACCAAGGCGGCGACGGGUAGCCGGCCUGAGAGGGUGACCGGCCACAUUGGGACUGAGAUACGGCCCAGACUCCUACGGGAGGCAGCAGUGGGGAAGAUUGCACAAUGGGCGCAAGCCUGAUGCAGCAGCGCCGCGUGCGGGAUGACGGCCUUCGGGUUGUAAACCGCUUUCAGCAGGGACGAAGCUUUUUGUGACGGUACCUGCAGAAGAAGCACCGGCUAACUACGUG